Molecule: ribosomal RNA, 819 nt
Filed under: uncultured Helicobacter sp.
Lineage: Bacteria; Pseudomonadati; Campylobacterota; Epsilonproteobacteria; Campylobacterales; Helicobacteraceae
Description: bacterial SSU rRNA
Rfam family: Bacterial small subunit ribosomal RNA
Source: RNAcentral
GAGCGCGUAGGCGGGGUAGUAAGUCAGAUGUGAAAUCCUAUGGCUUAACCAUAGAACUGCAUUUGAAACUACUACUCUAGAGUAUGGGAGAGGUAGGUGGAAUUCUUGGUGUAGGGGUAAAAUCCGUAGAGAUCAAGAGGAAUACUCAUUGCGAAGGCGACCUGCUGGAACAUUACUGACGCUGAUGCGCGAAAGCGUGGGGAGCAAACAGGAUUAGAUACCCUGGUAGUCCACGCCCUAAACGAUGAAUGCUAGUUGUUGUGGAGCUUGUCUCUGCAGUAAUGCAGCUAACGCAUUAAGCAUUCCGCCUGGGGAGUACGGUCGCAAGAUUAAAACUCAAAGGAAUAGACGGGGACCCGCACAAGCGGUGGAGCAUGUGGUUUAAUUCGAAGAUACGCGAAGAACCUUACCUAGGCUUGACAUUGAUAGAAUCUGCUAGAGAUAGCGGAGUGCUGGCUUGCCAGAGCUUGAAAACAGGUGCUGCACGGCUGUCGUCAGCUCGUGUCGUGAGAUGUUGGGUUAAGUCCCGCAACGAGCGCAACCCUCGUCCUUAGUUGCUAACAGUUCGGCUGAGCACUCUAGGGAGACUGCCUUCGUAAGGAGGAGGAAGGUGAGGACGACGUCAAGUCAUCAUGGCCCUUACGCCUAGGGCUACACACGUGCUACAAUGGGAUGCACAAAGAGACGCAAUACCGCGAGGUGGAGCAAAUCUCAAAAACAUCUCUCAGUUCGGAUUGUAGUCUGCAACUCGACUACAUGAAGCUGGAAUCGCUAGUAAUCGUGAAUCAGCCAUGUCACGGUGAAUACGUUCCCGGGUCU